Molecule: ribosomal RNA, 464 nt
Filed under: uncultured bacterium
Lineage: Bacteria
Description: partial 16S ribosomal RNA
Rfam family: Bacterial small subunit ribosomal RNA
Source: RNAcentral
GACGAACGCUGGCGGCGUGCUUAACACAUGCAAGUCGAACGGAAAGUCCCAGCUUGCUGGGUGCUCGAGUGGCGAACGGGUGAGUAACACGUGGGUGAUCUGCCUCUAACUUCGGGAUAAGCUUGGGCAACUGGGUCUAAUACCGGGUACGUCAGUCGUUUAUCGUCGGUUGUGGAAAGUUUUUUCGGUUAGGGAUGAGCCCGCGGCCUAUCAGCUUGUUGGUGGGGUAAUGGCCUACCAAGGCGUCGACGGGUAGCCGGCCUGAGAGGGUGGACGGCCACAUUGGGACUGAGAUACGGCCCAGACUCCUACGGGAGGCAGCAGUGGGGAAUAUUGCACAAUGGGCGGAAGCCUGAUGCAGCGACGCCGCGUGGGGGAUGACGGCCUUCGGGUUGUAAACCUCUUUCGACAGGGACGAAGCUUUGGUGACGGUACCUGUAUAAGAAGCACCGGCUAACUACGUG